Molecule: ribosomal RNA, 305 nt
Filed under: uncultured bacterium
Lineage: Bacteria
Description: bacterial SSU rRNA
Rfam family: Bacterial small subunit ribosomal RNA
Source: RNAcentral
UCCUACGGGGGGCAGCAGUGAGGAAUAUUGGUCAAUGGCCGCAGGGCUGAACCAGCCAAGUCGCGUGAGGGAUGACGGUCCUAGGGAUUGUAAACCUCUUUUGUCAGGGAGCAAAGGGCGCCACGUGUGGCGUUUUGCGAGUACCUGAAGAAAAAGCAUCGGCUAACUCCGUGCCAGCAGCCGCGGUAAUACGGAGGAUGCGAGCGUUAUCCGGAUUUAUUGGGUUUAAAGGGAGCGUAGGCCGGCUUUUAAGUCAGCUGUGAAAGUACGCGGCUCAACCGUGGAAUUGCAGUUGAAACUGGAGG